CCCAAGAGAUCGGGAUAACACCUGGAAACAGAUGCUAAUACCGGAUAACAACAGAUGAUGCCUAUCAACUGUUUAAAAGAUGGUUCUGCUAUCACUCUUGGAUGGACCUGCGGUGCAUUAGCUAGUUGGUAGGGUAACGGCCUGCCAAGGCGAUGAUGCAUAGCCGAGUUGAGAGACUGAUCGGCCACAUUGGGACUGAGACACGGCCCAAACUCCUACGGGAGGCAGCAGCC
This 233-nucleotide ribosomal RNA is filed under the name uncultured Lactobacillus sp. RNAcentral describes it as "partial 16S ribosomal RNA". It matches the Rfam family "Bacterial small subunit ribosomal RNA", at positions 129 to 355 of the family's 1533-position model. The record is from RNAcentral. Lineage: Bacteria; Bacillati; Bacillota; Bacilli; Lactobacillales; Lactobacillaceae.